GUAGAGUAGGCAUCAUGCGUUAAGUGCCGCGCGUACGGGAUGUUGACCGCGGACGAAGGCCGGAAGCUUUUUUUAUGACAAAUGCUUCGGCCGCGAUAUGAUGCCGCUUCCGCUGC
RNAcentral lists this non-coding RNA (116 nucleotides) under bovine gut metagenome. RNAcentral describes it as "THF riboswitch". It matches the Rfam family "THF (Tetrahydrofolate) riboswitch aptamer". Rfam says of the family: THF riboswitch presents a pseudoknot that joins P1-P2 and the loop of P3 and two THF binding. The record is from RNAcentral.